This 463-nucleotide ribosomal RNA is filed under the name uncultured bacterium. RNAcentral describes it as "bacterial SSU rRNA". It matches the Rfam family "Bacterial small subunit ribosomal RNA", at positions 339 to 794 of the family's 1533-position model. The record is from RNAcentral.
UUACGGGAGGCAGCAGUGGGGAAUUUUGGACAAUGGGGGCAACCCUGAUCCAGCAAUGCCGCGUGUGUGAAGAAGGCCUUCGGGUUGUAAAGCACUUUUGGCGGGAACGAAACGGCGUGGGUUAAUACCUCGCGCUAAUGACGGUACCCGCAGAAUAAGCACCGGCUAACUACGUGCCAGCAGCCGCGGUAAUACGUAGGGUGCAAGCGUUAAUCGGAAUUACUGGGCGUAAAGCGUGCGCAGGCGGUUGUAUAAGACAGAUGUGAAAUCCCCGGGCUCAACCUGGGAACUGCAUUUGUGACUGUACGGCUAGAGUGUGUCAGAGGGGGGUAGAAUUCCACGUGUAGCAGUGAAAUGCGUAGAGAUGUGGAGGAAUACCGAUGGCGAAGGCAGCCCCCUGGGAUAACACUGACGCUCAUGCACGAAAGCGUGGGGAGCAAACAGGAUUAGAUACCCUGGUAGG